This 1542-nucleotide ribosomal RNA is filed under the name Escherichia coli. RNAcentral's name for it is "bacterial SSU rRNA". It matches the Rfam family "Bacterial small subunit ribosomal RNA". RNAcentral also lists the same sequence under 1 other name. Lineage: Bacteria; Pseudomonadati; Pseudomonadota; Gammaproteobacteria; Enterobacterales; Enterobacteriaceae. The record is from RNAcentral.
AAAUUGAAGAGUUUGAUCAUGGCUCAGAUUGAACGCUGGCGGCAGGCCUAACACAUGCAAGUCGAACGGUAACAGGAAGCAGCUUGCUGUUUUGCUGACGAGUGGCGGACGGGUGAGUAAUGUCUGGGAAACUGCCUGAUGGAGGGGGAUAACUACUGGAAACGGUAGCUAAUACCGCAUAACGUCGCAAGACCAAAGAGGGGGACCUUAGGGCCUCUUGCCAUCGGAUGUGCCCAGAUGGGAUUAGCUGGUAGGUGGGGUAACGGCUCACCUAGGCGACGAUCCCUAGCUGGUCUGAGAGGAUGACCAGCCACACUGGAACUGAGACACGGUCCAGACUCCUACGGGAGGCAGCAGUGGGGAAUAUUGCACAAUGGGCGCAAGCCUGAUGCAGCCAUGCCGCGUGUAUGAAGAAGGCCUUCGGGUUGUAAAGUACUUUCAGCGGGGAGGAAGGGAGUAAAGUUAAUACCUUUGCUCAUUGACGUUACCCGCAGAAGAAGCACCGGCUAACUCCGUGCCAGCAGCCGCGGUAAUACGGAGGGUGCAAGCGUUAAUCGGAAUUACUGGGCGUAAAGCGCACGCAGGCGGUUUGUUAAGUCAGAUGUGAAAUCCCCGGGCUCAACCUGGGAACUGCAUCUGAUACUGGCAAGCUUGAGUCUCGUAGAGGGGGGUAGAAUUCCAGGUGUAGCGGUGAAAUGCGUAGAGAUCUGGAGGAAUACCGGUGGCGAAGGCGGCCCCCUGGACGAAGACUGACGCUCAGGUGCGAAAGCGUGGGGAGCAAACAGGAUUAGAUACCCUGGUAGUCCACGCCGUAAACGAUGUCGACUUGGAGGUUGUGCCCUUGAGGCGUGGCUUCCGGAGCUAACGCGUUAAGUCGACCGCCUGGGGAGUACGGCCGCAAGGUUAAAACUCAAAUGAAUUGACGGGGGCCCGCACAAGCGGUGGAGCAUGUGGUUUAAUUCGAUGCAACGCGAAGAACCUUACCUGGUCUUGACAUCCACGGAAGUUUUCAGAGAUGAGAAUGUGCCUUCGGGAACCGUGAGACAGGUGCUGCAUGGCUGUCGUCAGCUCGUGUUGUGAAAUGUUGGGUUAAGUCCCGCAACGAGCGCAACCCUUAUCCUUUGUUGCCAGCGGUCCGGCCGGGAACUCAAAGGAGACUGCCAGUGAUAAACUGGAGGAAGGUGGGGAUGACGUCAAGUCAUCAUGGCCCUUACGACCAGGGCUACACACGUGCUACAAUGGCGCAUACAAAGAGAAGCGACCUCGCGAGAGCAAGCGGACCUCAUAAAGUGCGUCGUAGUCCGGAUUGGAGUCUGCAACUCGACUCCAUGAAGUCGGAAUCGCUAGUAAUCGUGGAUCAGAAUGCCACGGUGAAUACGUUCCCGGGCCUUGUACACACCGCCCGUCACACCAUGGGAGUGGGUUGCAAAAGAAGUAGGUAGCUUAACCUUCGGGAGGGCGCUUACCACUUUGUGAUUCAUGACUGGGGUGAAGUCGUAACAAGGUAACCGUAGGGGAACCUGCGGUUGGAUCACCUCCUUA